RNAcentral lists this ribosomal RNA (883 nucleotides) under Malassezia obtusa. RNAcentral's name for it is "eukaryotic LSU rRNA". The stretch from base 403 to 883 matches the Rfam family "Eukaryotic large subunit ribosomal RNA", at positions 1 to 479 of the family's 3401-position model. The record is from RNAcentral. Lineage: Eukaryota; Fungi; Basidiomycota; Malasseziomycetes; Malasseziales; Malasseziaceae. RNAcentral also lists the same sequence under 1 other name.
AAAUAUUAAAAACUUUCAACAACGGAUCUCUUGGUUCUCGCAUCGAUGAAGAACGCAGCGAAAUGCGAUACGUAAUGUGAAUUGCAGAAUUCCGUGAAUCAUCGAAUCUUUGAACGCACAUUGCGCCCCUUGGUAUUCCAGGGGGCAUGCCUGUUUGAGCGUCAUUUCCUUCUCAAACAUUCUGUUUGGUAGUGAGUGAUACUCUUUGGAGUUAACUUGAAAUUGCUGGCCUUUUCAUUGGAUGUUUUUUUUCCAAAGAGAGGUUUCUCUGCGUGCUUGAGGUAUAAUGCAAGUACGGUCGUUUUAGGUUUUACCAACUGCGGCUAAUCUUUUUUUAUACUGAGCGUAUUGGAACGUUAUCGAUAAGAAGAGAGCGUCUAGGCGAACAAUGUUCUUAAAGUUUGACCUCAAAUCAGGUAGGAGUACCCGCUGAACUUAAGCAUAUCAAUAAGCGGAGGAAAAGAAACCAACCGGGAUUGCCUUAGUAACGGCGAGUGAAGCGGCAAAAGCUCAAAUUUGAAAUCUGGUACCUUCGGUGCCCGAGUUGUAAUUUGGAGAGGGCAACUUUGGGGCCGUUCCUUGUCUAUGUUCCUUGGAACAGGACGUCAUAGAGGGUGAGAAUCCCGUGUGGCGAGGAGUGCGGUUCUUUGUAAAGUGCCUUCGAAGAGUCGAGUUGUUUGGGAAUGCAGCUCUAAGUGGGUGGUAAAUUCCAUCUAAAGCUAAAUAUUGGCGAGAGACCGAUAGCGAACAAGUACAGUGAUGGAAAGAUGAAAAGAACUUUGAAAAGAGAGUGAAAAAGUACGUGAAAUUGUUGAAAGGGAAGGGCAUUUGAUCAGACAUGGUGUUUUGUGCCCUCUGCUCCUUGUGGGUAGGGGAAUCUCGC